This 274-nucleotide ribosomal RNA is filed under the name uncultured bacterium. Its description in RNAcentral is "partial 16S ribosomal RNA". It matches the Rfam family "Archaeal small subunit ribosomal RNA", at positions 473 to 747 of the family's 1478-position model. The record is from RNAcentral.
AUACCCGCUCCGCGAGUGGUGGGGACUUUUACUGGGCUUAAAGCGCCCGUAGCCGGCUGGGUGUGUCCUCAGUUAAAUCCACAGGCCUAACCUGUGGGCUGCGGGGGAUACUACCCGGCUUGGGGGUGGGAGAGGGCGGCGGUAUUCCCGGGGUAGGGGUAAAAUCCACUGAUCCCAGGAGGACCACCAGUGGCGAAGGCGGCCGCCCAGAACACGCCCGACGGUGAGGGGCGAAAGCUGGGGGAGCAAACGGGAUUAGAAACCCUAGUAGUCC